This 110-nucleotide microRNA precursor is filed under the name Rhipicephalus microplus (southern cattle tick). Its description in RNAcentral is "microRNA rmi-mir-5332 precursor". The record is from miRBase by way of RNAcentral. Lineage: Eukaryota; Metazoa; Arthropoda; Arachnida; Ixodida; Ixodidae.
GGGCAAUAUCAGGCCUUCGGACUCGUCCUGUCGGCGUCAAGUCGUAGCAGCCUUCGGCCAUCCACUCGGCGUAAUAGCGCUUGACAUGCGCUUUGAAGGGCUUGUUAAGC